GACGAACGCUGGCGGCGUGCUUAACACAUGCAAGUCGAACGGAAAGGCCCUGCUUUUGUGGGGUGCUCGAGGGGCGAACGGGUGAGUAACACGUGAGUAACCUGCCCUGGACGUGGGGAUAACUGCAGGAAACUGGGGCUAAUACCGGAUAGGAGCGCCUGCUGCAUGGGGGGGGUUGGAAAGCUUGGGCGGUGGGGGAUGGACUCGCGGCUUAUCAGCUUGUUGGUGGGGUAGUUGCUUACCAAGGCUUUGACGGGUAGCCGGCCUGAGAGGGUGACCGGCCACAUUGGGACUGAGAUACGGCCCAGACUCCUACGGGAGGCAGCAGUGGGGAAUAUUGCACAAUGGGCGGACGCCUGAUGCAGCAGCGCCGCGUGCGGGAUGACGGCCUUCGGGUUGUAAACCGCUUUCGCCUGUGACGAAGCGGGAGUGACGGUAAUGGGUAAAGAAGCACCGGCUAACUACGUG
Molecule: ribosomal RNA, 468 nt
Filed under: uncultured bacterium
Lineage: Bacteria
Description: partial 16S ribosomal RNA
Rfam family: Bacterial small subunit ribosomal RNA
Source: RNAcentral